This 194-nucleotide non-coding RNA is filed under the name pig gut metagenome. The record is from RNAcentral.
GUAUUUCGUUUACGAACGAGAUUUAAUAGGGAAGAGAGAAAUCGGAAAAACCGAGUUGCUCCGCUGCCCCCGCAGCCGUAAGAACGACCGCCUUAUUGCACUGUGAUUUUGAGUGAUUUCAUGGGAAGGAGUAGGGCAGGUAUGCGUUGAACGCAUAUCAGGGCGUUGUAAGCCGGAAGACCUGCCCCGUGUGG